UCCUGGCUCAGGAUGAACGCUGGCGGCGUGCAUAACACAUUCAAGUCGAACGAAGCACUUUGGGACGAUCCCUUCGGGGUGAAGCCUGAUUUGACUUAGUGGCGAACGGGUGAGUAACGCGUGAGCAAUCUGCCUUAAAGAGGGGGACAACAGUUGGAAACGACUGCUAAUACCGCAUAAGCCCACACUACCGCAUGGUAGAGUGAGAAAAGAUUUUAUCGCUUUAAGAUGAGCUCGCGUCUGAUUAGCUAGUUGGUGGGGUAACGGCCUACCAAGGCAACGAUCAGUAGCCGGACUGAGAGGUUGAUCGGCCACAUUGGGACUGAGACACGGCCCAGACUCCUACGGGAGGCAGCAGUGGGGAAUAUUGCACAAUGGAGGGAACUCUGAUGCAGCGACGCCGCGUGAGGGAAGAAGGUAUUCGUAUUGUAAACCUCUGUCUUCGGGGACGAUAAUGACGGUACCCGAGGAGGAAGCACCGGCUAACUACGUG
This 493-nucleotide ribosomal RNA is filed under the name uncultured bacterium. RNAcentral describes it as "bacterial SSU rRNA". It matches the Rfam family "Bacterial small subunit ribosomal RNA", at positions 17 to 507 of the family's 1533-position model. The record is from RNAcentral.